AGUUGGAGGAGAGUCCUGGACCACGGA
Molecule: non-coding RNA, 27 nt
Filed under: Homo sapiens (human)
Lineage: Eukaryota; Metazoa; Chordata; Mammalia; Primates; Hominidae
Source: RNAcentral